Molecule: long non-coding RNA, 2629 nt
Organism: Mesoplodon densirostris (Blainville's beaked whale)
Lineage: Eukaryota; Metazoa; Chordata; Mammalia; Artiodactyla; Ziphiidae
Exons: 6
Source: RefSeq, a predicted model, not a curated record
GCGGGCAACGUGGAGCGGGAACAAAGGACCCCGCGGCCCACGGCGAUCAGGGGCGCGGUGCCACCCUACCCCAGGCCCGGGGUACCGAUGGGGCCCUGGGCCAGCUCCCCGCCCCCACUCGCCGGGUCCUGGAAAGGCUCACGGAAGAGAGUCCAGACCCCGGGCCGACCCCAACACUAGGCAUCGGUUCCUGACAGCAGGAACUGAGAUUCCCGCGCCCUCCUUCCGGGAGGUCAUCCCUGGCCCGCGCGCGGCGUCUUGACCCAGGCCCCCGAGGACCCCUCGUGCAAAAACUUCUCGUUCCUCACGCCCUGCUUCCUCGACUCCAGCGCUCUCCGAGGCGGCCCGCGCCCGCCCUUGGCCGCUAACGCGAUCCGGCAACCACAGCAGCACCGGGAGCGCGAGGGCCGCUCGGCUGCAGCUCCUCGCCCCCAGAGAGCGGCGGCGGCAGCGGCCGCGGCUUGGGGAAUCCUCCUCCCGGCACCCGGCACCGCUCCGCGCCAUCCCCCAGUUCGCAGUCUGGCUGCGCCCUCUUCCUCCUCCACCGUCCAUGGGACCGGCGCGUAUUACCUGGUUCAUCUCUAAAGAGAUGGAAAAACUCAUCUCUGGAGCUUCAAAGGGGAGCAGGAGGAAGCGGGCGGGAAUCGGCCCAACGGAAAGCGCCUAGAGGCCACCGAGGAGGGAGCGGCCGAGCGGGGAGACGAGCGGACAGCCCGCGGAGGCUGCGAGGAAGGGGAGCGCACCGGAAAUUCGCGGGGACUCGCUAGCUCGCUGGCACAGCGGCGCUGAAGCCGCAGGCGGCGAAACUGUGCCCAGCAGUUCCGAGCGACCGACCUCCACGCGCGUCCCGGAGACACUGCCCUCGCCGCCGCCGCCCGCUAGCGCCUCACCCCCUCGCACGUCACCACGUGCGCCGCUGCCGUAGCCGCCGCCAACACCUCCCCGACGCUUCCGGCUGGAAAGCGUCGGCAAAUGACGAGCGAGCACAGCAAUAUAGCGCUCGCGGCCCCGCCCACCGCUGGCCCCGCCCCCACCCUUCCCCUCGCCCCCCCAACCCUUCUCCCCCGCCCUGUUUGGUUCCGUCCUGCGCAUCUCAACUAGGUCAAAGCAAGGUGAUCUUUGGAAGAGCGGGUGCUCGGGGCCCGCCACUUGUCGCGCCGUCGGCCCUCGCCCUUUCAGACAGUCCGGGAACUGGUUCCCUCCAGCCGCCCUCACCUGUUCUGCCAUCCCCUGGAGGCACAAUAUAGCCAGAGAGAUUAGGUGUGAGAGAUUAGAUUUUUCGGCGUCAAAUGUACAUCUAGGCAGCAGCCCUAGGACUGGAGCUGGCCGCAGUGGACCUAAGAGUCCGUAGCUGCCCGUCUGCCCUCACCUUUGUAGGAGGGUGAUGCGAGGAGGAAGCGUGGUGAUUGUGAGGAAGAGCAGAGGCACGCUGACGAAAAGGGGUGAGAGGAUUCCGUAACUUCGAGAAAACAAUUGGAGAGGUCAGAGAAGGCCUAAUAUUAUAUCAGUGUUGCUCUGAAAAACUGUUUACUUCUACUUUUCGUCCCCGGGAUUUGUUUUGUCUGAGUGCAGCUCUCCUCUCGGCGACACUGAGUCAGCUCUUUGCUGGGCUUGCCCUCUUGGAAAAAGAAAAUAACCUUGAGACCAGAUAGCAACCUUAAUUAUCCCCAUGCACUCACCCACCUUGCCCCCAGAAGACAAACCUGUUCAGGGGGAGCGUGGGGUAUAGCAGGCUGACAGCAACUUCAUGGGACUCUGAAGGGCACACUGGAAAGCUUCCUAGAUUGAAGGCGACUCCAGAUUUAAGUCUAUCUUUCCAAUUACUAUAUAAUCCAGAUGAAAAUUUAACAAUGGAACAUCGUGGACAAUUUCAACCCGGGUUGAAGACUGACUGACCCUAGAAUAGAAAAGUAAUAAACAUCCCCUUGGAGACUUUCUCCUAAGAGAGGAGAUGAGGGAACUAUGUUUAAGGAAAUGGGAUGUCAAAGUGGCAAAGCCAGGCUUUGAAGUCACUUCUCUUAACCUCUGUGGAAGUGGAAGGGUGACAGAUGGAAGAUCCACUUUAGAGGUAAGGAACAUGAGAAGAAAGAAGCAAUUAUGUCACAGAUGAGUUUCGUGAAGACCCAAGAGACUUACUCACCCAGAUUUCCUCUUGUGGAAAAGCUCACUGAGCAGUGACCAUCCUAUAAAUCCAGAUGCAUGCCUCCAUGGAAGUUGAGAAGACCACAUCCUUCCCAGCCCCUCCACUCACUCCAGCCAAGGGGCAGGCACAUGAAGAAUCAGCCAGGCAGUUGCUUUCCCAUGGGCUUUUGAAACUUGAGUGACACAAGGAAACAGCAAUGGCUCUGACCACAGGAAAUUUUCCAGAGUGCCCAGCCUGUUUCCAAGCCCUGCUCUGAAAUACCACAUCAGUUCUGAGCACACCAUCAGCACCACCAAACCCUUUGCUCCAAUAAAUAUGCUUUAGCUUCACUUGGCCAGGUCAGUUUUUGUUAGCAGCAGCCAAGGGACUCUCACUGCCACAAAAUCUCUUACCACCAUAUGACCUAACCUCUCUUUCCCUAGUGAAUAAUCUUUGUUUAAAACCUAAAUGGACAAAGCAAAUAUAUGUAAGAUCAUGUUUCAAAUU